RNAcentral lists this ribosomal RNA (569 nucleotides) under Sarocladium oryzae. Its description in RNAcentral is "partial 28S ribosomal RNA". It matches the Rfam family "Eukaryotic large subunit ribosomal RNA", at positions 73 to 668 of the family's 3401-position model. Lineage: Eukaryota; Fungi; Ascomycota; Sordariomycetes; Hypocreales; Sarocladiaceae. The record is from RNAcentral.
AUGCUCAGUACGGCGAGUGAAGCGGCAACAGCUCAAAUUUGAAAUCUGGCCGCAAGGUCCGAGUUGUAAUUUGUAGAGGAUGCUUUUGGCGAGGUGCCUUCCGAGUUCCCUGGAACGGGACGCCAUAGAGGGUGAGAGCCCCGUACGGUCGUGCCACCGAGCCUCUGUAAAGCUCCUUCGACGAGUCGAGUAGUUUGGGAAUGCUGCUCUAAAUGGGAGGUGUACGUCUUCUAAAGCUAAAUACCGGCCAGAGACCGAUAGCGCACAAGUAGAGUGAUCGAAAGAUGAAAAGCACUUUGAAAAGAGGGUUAAAAAGUACGUGAAAUUGUUGAAAGGGAAGCAUUCAUGACCAGACUUGGGCUUGGUUGAACAUCCGGCGUUCUCGCCGGUGCACUCUGCCAGCUCAGGCCAGCAUCAGUUUGCCCCGGGGGAUAAAGGCGGCGGGAAUGUGGCUCCCCUCGGGGAGUGUUAUAGCCCGUCGUGUAAUGCCCUGGGGCGGACUGAGGUUCGCGCUUCGGCACGGAUGCUGGCGUAAUGGUCAUCAAUGACCCGUCUUGAACCACGGACCA